CCAAUAGCGUAUAUUAAAGUUGUUGCAGUUAAAAAGCUCGUAGUUGAAUUUCGAGAUCAAAUUGUUGGUCGUGCCUUGGUACGUACUGGCAUUAUUGGUUUCUCCCUUCUGACGAACCAUGAUGUCAUUAAUUUGGUGUCAUGGGGAAUCAGGACUGUUACUUUGAAAAAAUUAGAGUGUUUAAAGCAGGCUCACGCUUGAAUACAUUAGCAUGGAAUAAUGAAAUAGGACGUUUGAUUCUAUUUUGUUGGUUUCUAGGAUCGACGUAAUGAUUAAUAGGGAUAGUUGGGGGCAUUAGUAUUCAAUUGUCAGAGGUGAAAUUCUUGGAUUUAUUGAAGACUAACUACUGCGAAAGCAUUUGCCAAGGAUGUUUUCAUUAAUCAAGAACGAAAGUUAGGGGAUCGAAGACGAUCAGAUACCGUCGUAGUCUUAACCAUAAACUAUGCCGACUAGGGAUCGGAUGAUGUUAAUUUUUUAAUGACUCAUUCGGCGCCUUACG
This 499-nucleotide ribosomal RNA is filed under the name uncultured Glomeromycotina. Its description in RNAcentral is "partial small subunit ribosomal RNA". It matches the Rfam family "Eukaryotic small subunit ribosomal RNA", at positions 591 to 1092 of the family's 1831-position model. Lineage: Eukaryota; Fungi; Glomeromycota. The record is from RNAcentral.